CAAUAGCGUAUAUUAAUGUUGUUGCAGUUAAAAAGCUCGUAGUUGGAUUCCUGGCACGGGGUAACCGGUCCGCCUUGCAAAAGGUGCGCACUGUGUGGCCUCGGCCAUCCUUGAGAAGAGCUGUUCUGGCAUUCAGUUGUCGGGGCAGGGAUUCUCGACUUUUACUGUGAAAAAUCAGAGUGUUCAACGCAGGCUUACGCCUUGAAUACAUUAGCAUGGAAUAAUGAGAUAGGACUUUGGUGGUCUAUUUUGUUGGUUUGCACGCCGAAGUAAUGAUUAAAAGGGACGGUUGGGGUUCUUCGUAUUCAAUUGUCAGAGGUGAAAUUCUUGGAUUUAUGGAAGACGAACUGCUGCGAAAGCGUCGAACAAGGACGUUCUCAUUAAUCAAGAACGAAAGUUAGGGGAUCGAAGACGAUUAGAUACCAU
This 426-nucleotide ribosomal RNA is filed under the name uncultured eukaryote. RNAcentral describes it as "SSU rRNA". It matches the Rfam family "Eukaryotic small subunit ribosomal RNA", at positions 592 to 1018 of the family's 1831-position model. The record is from RNAcentral.